AGUUCAUCGUAGCGCUCAAUACAAAACAAUAUUAUUGUUACCUUUGCAUAUUUCUAAUAAACUUAUUUUAUUUUUUUCGUCUUCCUAAGAACGGAUUUGUUCAUUCCAACGAGCUUAGGUCAACCUAGAACGGGAUAUCGAAUUUUGUUGUCUGUAGGAAAAAGCGAACUAUGUUUCAGGUUCUUAAAAUGAUUCAUAUGAUGAUGAAUGCUUGUGUUUAUUAGUAGUUAUUCGAGAUGGUCUAUUAAUGUGUACGGUGUAAUUGCUGUUAUCGACAUAAUGAGUGGGUACUAUUAUCAGAGAAAUUGUGGUUUACAUCUGGCGGAUCAGCAUUGUCGAACAGGUCAGAAGACAACUGUCUUUGCAGACGGAUCGUUUCAUGCGUCAGCUCCCGAACCUGAAUGAGCAAUUCCUGAUAAUUCGAUACCGGAAGCGUCAUUGCUGUACACUGUAUCUUUCACUGCGCCCGUGCGCCCAAAUUUUGAAAGAACAGCCAUCCGAUUUGAAUCUAUAACAAAAUGAAUGUUGCUUAUCAAUACAAAAUGCAUCUUAUUUGUAUAAUUAAAUUGUGAAUGUUUACGUAUGUUAAAUAUAUAACAAGUAUAUGACAUUUAUACAUGUAAAAUAUGCAAAUAUUCACGAAGAAUAUGCAAAAUAUGUUAGUAACAUGUGUGAUAUAAGUUUAAAAAUGCGAAUAUUAUUUACGAUACAAUAUUUAAUAAGAAAUAUUUAACAAUACUUUUG
RNAcentral lists this unclassified non-coding RNA (744 nucleotides) under Bombus terrestris (buff-tailed bumblebee). Its description in RNAcentral is "misc RNA ENSBTSG00005028534.1". The record is from RNAcentral. Lineage: Eukaryota; Metazoa; Arthropoda; Insecta; Hymenoptera; Apidae.